RNAcentral lists this ribosomal RNA (392 nucleotides) under uncultured bacterium. RNAcentral describes it as "partial 16S ribosomal RNA". It matches the Rfam family "Bacterial small subunit ribosomal RNA", at positions 523 to 918 of the family's 1533-position model. The record is from RNAcentral.
AUACGGAGGAUCCGAGCGUUAUCCGGAUUUAUUGGGUUUAAAGGGUGCGCAGGCGGCCAUUUAAGUCAGCGGUUAAAUCGUGGGGCUCAACCCCACUCUGCCGUUGAUACUGGGUGGCUUGAUUGCGGUCGAGGUUGGCGGAAUUCGUUGUGUUGCGGUGAAAUGCAUAGAUAUGACGAAGAACACCGAUUGCGUAGGCAGCUGACCAGACCGCAAAUGACGCUCAUGCACGAAAGUGCGGGGAUCGAACAGGAUUAGAUACCCUGGUAGUCCGCACAGUAAACGAUGAAUACUUGUUUUCGGCGAUAUAAUGUCGGAGGCAAAGCGAAAGCGAUAAGUAUUCCACCUGGGGAGUACGCCGGCAACGGUGAAACUCAAAUGAAUUGACGGGG